This is a long non-coding RNA of Oncorhynchus gorbuscha (pink salmon), 788 nucleotides long. RefSeq lists it as uncharacterized. Lineage: Eukaryota; Metazoa; Chordata; Actinopteri; Salmoniformes; Salmonidae. The transcript has 2 exons. The record is from RefSeq and is a predicted model, not a curated record.
ACGGUGACUGGCUGACUGAUUUAUAAAUAAUAAUGAGUAGUUAUUUAUGAUGCAAGGUGAUUUGUAAAUCAGUCAGUCAGCAGCCACCUGCACUGUCGGCUGCAAUGUCGAACGAGCCCAAAUUAAUCAAAACCAAUCAGGUGUUCGACGAAAUGAUUCUUCAGACGUCAUUGAUCACGUGCUGCUGAUAAAGGGACACUGCUUUGAAUUAUACCGCUUAGCGACUUCAGUACAUGCCUCAUAGCUCCAGUCUCAAACUUAACCCCGUUCCUGAUGAUGAAGAAGAGGUGGUCUGCCUGCUGGAUGGAGAAAGAAGCUCUCGUGGAAGAGGAGGCUGUUACAAUACAAAAACAAGUAGAGGUUGAGGCUGUUACCGUGAAAGACGAAGAGAAAGAGGUCUCAGUUAAAGAAGAGGAAGACUCGUUCAGAGUCAAAGAGGACGGCGACGUUUCAGUGAAAGAAAAAGAGGAGGGGGAAGUGACUGUCACAUCGAAAAAUGAAGAAGAGGAGGAAACUGGAUGUCUGGGCCCGGUUUCCCAAACGCAUCUUAAGGCGUCCGAUUGUUCUAACGAUGAACCGGCCCUGAUUAACACUAGAAAGAGACCUGACUAUCGUGGAUCCUCUGGGGGGCCUCAACAACCUCAUGAUGCUGACAGGGCAGAGAAUAGUCUCUCCACAUCAAAACCCCUCAAGAAACACCAGCAGAGACCCACAGGGAAGAAAUCUCAUUGCUGCUCUGACUGUGGGAAAGGAUGCAAAUCUUCAUCAGAACUUAAAAUACACCAGAG